UGAAGAAAAAGCAUCGGCUAACUCCGUGCCAGCAGCCGCGGUAAUACGGAGGAUGCAAGCGUUAUCCGGAAUCAUUGGGCGUAAAGGGUCCGCAGGUGGCGAAUAAAGUCUGCUGUUAAAGACCGGGGCUAAACUCCGGAAAGGCAGUGGAAACUGAUUAGCUAGAGUACGGUAGGGGUAGAGGGAAUUCCCAGUGUAGCGGUGAAAUGCGUAGAUAUUGGGAAGAACACCGGUGGCGAAAGCGCUCUACUAGGCCGAAACUGACACUGAGGGACGAAAGCUAGGGUAGCGAAAGGGAUUAGAUACCCCUGUAGUCUUAGCGGUAAACGAUGGAUACUAGGUGUAGCUUGUAUCGGCCCGAGCUGUGCCGAAGCUAACGCGAUAAGUAUCCCGCCUGGGGAGUACGCACGCAAGUGUGAAACUCAAAGGAAUUGACGGGGGCCCGCACAAGCGGUGGAGUAUGUGGUUUAAUUCGAUGCAACGCGAAGAACCUUACCAGGGCUUGACAUGUCGCGAAUCUAGCGGAAACGUUAGAGUGCCUUAGGGAAUGCGAGCACAGGUGGUGCAUGGCUGUCGUCAGCUCGUGUCGUGAGAUGUUGGGUUAAGUCCCGCAACGAGCGCAACCCUCGCCCUUAGUUGCCAAUAUUAAGUUAGGCACUCUAGGGAGACUGCCGGGGACAACUCGGAGGAAGGUGGGGAUGACGUCAAGUCAGCAUGCCCCUUACGUCCUGGGCGACACACGUACUACAAUGGUUGGGACAAAGGGCAGCAAACUCGCGAGAGUAAGCGAAUCUCAUCAAACCCAGCCACAGUUCAGAUUGCAGGCUGCAACUCGCCUGCAUGAAGUAGGAAUCGCUAGUAAUCGCAGGUCAGCAUACUGCGGUGAAUUCGUUCCCGGGCCUUGUACACACCGCCCGUCACACCAUGGAAGCUGGCUACGCCCGAAGUCGUUACCCUAACCCGGUUUUGGGAGGGGGAUGCCGAAGGUAGAGCUAGUGACUGGGGUGAAGUCGUAACAAGGUAGCCGUACCGGAAGGUGUGGCUGGAUCACCUCCUUUACAGGGAGACCUAGUCUAAUUACCAAUAGAUAAAAAAGUUGGUAAUUCGCAAGAAUCCUUAGGUCGUGAGGGGAGCAAGAAAGAACUUUCAAACUGUAAUGGGUGAGGGUCAAUGGGCUAUUAGCUCAGGUGGUUAGAGCGCACCCCUGAUAAGGGUGAGGUCCCUGGUUCUAGUCCAGGAUGGCCCACCUAAAAUACACAGGCAUCCUGCCUGUGCCACAAAAAAAGGAAAAAGUUUUGGCAUUGUCUCUUGUAAUCAAGAGCAAGAGAUAAUGCUGGAAUAGAUU
This 1345-nucleotide unclassified non-coding RNA is filed under the name uncultured cyanobacterium. RNAcentral's name for it is "bacterial SSU rRNA". The stretch from base 1 to 1058 matches the Rfam family "Bacterial small subunit ribosomal RNA", at positions 480 to 1533 of the family's 1533-position model. The record is from RNAcentral. Lineage: Bacteria; Bacillati; Cyanobacteriota.